UACAGGGGAUGCAAGCGUUAUCCGGAUUUAUUGGGUUUAAAGGGUGCGUAGGCUGUGAGGUAAGUCAGCGGUGAAAUGCCCCCGCUCAACGGGGUGAAGUGCCAUUGAUACUGCCUUGCUGGAAUGCGGAUGCCGUGGGAGGAAUGUGUGGUGUAGCGGUGAAAUGCAUAGAUAUCACACAGAACACCGAUUGCGAAGGCAUCUCACGAAUCCGCGAUUGACGCUGAUGCACGAAAGCGUGGGUAUCAAACAGG
This 254-nucleotide ribosomal RNA is filed under the name uncultured bacterium. Its description in RNAcentral is "partial 16S ribosomal RNA". It matches the Rfam family "Bacterial small subunit ribosomal RNA", at positions 524 to 776 of the family's 1533-position model. The record is from RNAcentral.